CCUACGGGUGGCAGCAGUGGGGAAUAUUGCACAAUGGGGGAAACCCUGAUGCAGCAACGCCGCGUGAGUGAAGAAGUAUUUCGGUAUGUAAAGCUCUAUCAGCAGGGAAGAAGAUGACGGUACCUGAGUAAGAAGCCCCGGCUAACUACGUGCCAGCAGCCGCGGUAAUACGUAGGGGGCAAGCGUUAUCCGGAUUUACUGGGUGUAAAGGGAGCGUAGACGGUGAGACAAGUCUGAAGUGAAAGCCUGGGGCUCAACCCCCGGACUGCUUUUGAAACUGUAUGGCUGGAGUGCAGGAGAGGUAAGUGGAAUUCCUAGUGUAGCGGUGAAAUGCGUAGAUAUUAGGAGGAACACCAGUGGCGAAGGCGGCUUACUGGACUGUAACUGACGUUGAGGCUCGAAAGCGUGGGGAGCAAACAGGAUUAGAUACCCGAGUAGUC
RNAcentral lists this ribosomal RNA (440 nucleotides) under uncultured bacterium. RNAcentral describes it as "partial 16S ribosomal RNA". It matches the Rfam family "Bacterial small subunit ribosomal RNA", at positions 338 to 795 of the family's 1533-position model. The record is from RNAcentral.